CCUACGGGUGGCAGCAGUGAGGAAUAUUGGUCAAUGGCCGUAAGGCUGAACCAGCCAAGUCGCGUGAAGGAUGAAGGCCCUAUGGUUUGUAAGCUUCGUUUAUAGGGGAAUAAAGGUAUCCACGUGUGGAUGUUUGCAUGUACCAUAUGAAUAAGCAUCGGCUAACUCCGUGCCGGCAGCCGCGGUAAUACGGAGGAUGCGAGCGUUAUCCGGAUUUAUUGGGUUUAAAGGGUGCGUAGGUGGGUUUUUAAGUCAGUGGUGAAAUUUUGUGGCUCAACCGUAAAAUUGCCGUUGAAACUGGAAGACUUGAGUGUAGUUGAGGUAGGCGGAAUGCGUGGUGUAGCGGUGAAAUGCAUAGAUAUCACGAAGAACUCCGAUUGCGAAGGCAGCUUACUAAGCUAUAACUGACACUGAAGCACGAAAGCGUGGGGAUCAAACAGGAUUAGAUACCCUGGUAGUC
This 460-nucleotide ribosomal RNA is filed under the name uncultured bacterium. RNAcentral describes it as "partial 16S ribosomal RNA". It matches the Rfam family "Bacterial small subunit ribosomal RNA", at positions 338 to 795 of the family's 1533-position model. The record is from RNAcentral.